Molecule: ribosomal RNA, 254 nt
Filed under: uncultured bacterium
Lineage: Bacteria
Description: partial 16S ribosomal RNA
Rfam family: Bacterial small subunit ribosomal RNA
Source: RNAcentral
UACGUAGGUGGCAAGCGUUGUCCGGAAUUAUUGGGCGUAAAGCGCGCGCAGGCGGUCUUUUAAGUCUGAUGUGAAAGCCCACGGCUCAACCGUGGAGGGUCAUUGGAAACUGGGAGACUUGAGUGCAGAAGAGAAGAGUGGAAUUCCACGUGUAGCGGUGAAAUGCGUAGAGAUGUGGAGGAACACCAGUGGCGAAGGCGACUCUUUGGUCUGUAACUGACGCUGAGGCGCGAAAGCGUGGGGGAGCAAACAGG